GACGAACGCUGGCGCGCUUGCUUAACACAUGCAAGUCGAACGGAAAGGCCCUGCUUUUGUGGGGUGCUCGAGUGGCGAACGGGUGAGUAACACGUGAGUAACCUGCCCUUGACUUUGGGAUAACUUCAGGAAACUGGGGCUAAUACCGGAUAGGAGCUCCUGCUGCAUGGUGGGGGUUGGAAAGUUUCGGCGGUUGGGGAUGGACUCGCGGCUUAUCAGCUUGUUGGUGGGGUAGUGGCUUACCAAGGCUUUGACGGGUAGCCGGCCUGAGAGGGUGACCGGCCACAUUGGGACUGAGAUACGGCCCAGACUCCUACGGGAGGCAGCAGUGGGGAAUAUUGCACAAUGGGCGGAAGCCUGAUGCAGCAACGCCGCGUGCGGGAUGACGGCCUUCGGGUUGUAAACCGCUUUCGCCUGUGACGAAGCGUGAGUGACGGUAAUGGGUAAAGAAGCACCGGCUAACUACGUGCCAGCAGCCGCGGUGAUACGUAGGGUGCGAGCGUUGUCCGGAUUUAUUGGGCGUAAAGGGCUCGUAGGUGGUUGAUCGCGUCGGAAGUGUAAUCUUGGGGCUUAACCCUGAGCGUGCUUUCGAUACGGGUUGACUUGAGGAAGGUAGGGGAGAAUGGAAUUCCUGGUGGAGCGGUGGAAUGCGCAGAUAUCAGGAGGAACACCAGUGGCGAAGGCGGUUCUCUGGGCCUUUCCUGACGCUGAGGAGCGAAAGCGUGGGGAGCGAACAGGCUUAGAUACCCUGGUAGUCCACGCUGUAAACGGUGGGUACUAGGUGUGGGGUCCAUUCCACGGGUUCCGUGCCGUAGCUAACGCUUUAAGUACCCCGCCUGGGGAGUACGGCCGCAAGGCUAAAACUCAAAGGAAUUGACGGGGCCCCGCACAAGCGGCGGAGCAUGCGGAUUAAUUCGAUGCAACGCGUAGAACCUUACCUGGGUUUGACAUGGAUCGGGAGCGCUCAGAGAUGGGUGUGCCUCUUUUGGGGUCGGUUCACAGGUGGUGCAUGGCUGUCGUCAGCUCGUGUCGUGAGAUGUUGGGUUAAGUCCCGCAACGAGCGCAACCCUUGUUCACUGUUGCCAGCACGUUAUGGUGGGGACUCAGUGGAGACCGCCGGGGUCAACUCGGAGGAAGGUGGGGAUGACGUCAAGUCAUCAUGCCCCUUAUGUCCAGGGCUUCACGCAUGCUACAAUGGCUGGUACAGAGAGUGGCGAGCCUGUGAGGGUGAGCGAAUCUCGGAAAGCCGGUCUCAGUUCGGAUUGGGGUCUGCAACUCGACCUCAUGAAGUCGGAGUCGCUAGUAAUCGCAGAUCAGCAACGCUGCGGUGAAUACGUUCCCGGG
Molecule: ribosomal RNA, 1344 nt
Filed under: uncultured bacterium
Lineage: Bacteria
Description: 16S ribosomal RNA
Rfam family: Bacterial small subunit ribosomal RNA
Source: RNAcentral